AAGCGUGUGCAUGACGAUUAUAAAAAGCCAUCAUCAAUGUAGCCACGAUACCACGAGUCACCAUGACAACAGUAAAUUAAAGAGCAAGCUAUUUCCCUGCCAUGGAGUUGGAGGUCCUUCUGCAGGAGAAGGAGAGAGCGACUGCAGACUUCACCCAGUCAGACUUCAGACCCAGACUGGGUAAAAAUUGCUGCCCAAGUCAACGCAAGGGGAGAUCCGGCGACAGCAGAGGUGCUGAGCGAGGCGAGGAGGCUGGAGCCUGUCGUGUGCUGCUGUUGAGCAUAAAAUAAAGACCGUAUAAAUGGAACCGACUGCAUCUUCGCUAAUAAAUUUACGGAUCAUGGA
Non-coding RNA from Gasterosteus aculeatus aculeatus (three-spined stickleback), 345 nucleotides. The record is from RefSeq and is a predicted model, not a curated record. NCBI's taxonomy places the organism in Eukaryota, Metazoa, Chordata, Actinopteri, Perciformes, Gasterosteidae.